GGAUGCGGUAACUCUGACUGUAAUAAAGUAGCAUAGUUAAUUGUCACUUAAUUAGUGGAGAGAAUGAAUGGUUACACGAAUGUUUCAUUGUCUUAAAAAAAACUUUUUAAAAUUGAAAUAAUAGUUAAGAUGCUAUUUAAAAUUGUAAGACGAAGAGACCCUAUAGAGCUUUACUAUAAAUUUUCUAAUUAAGAAUAGCAAUAAUCUGUUUAUGAAUAGAAUGUUUGGUAGUUUAGUUGGGGCGACUGUUUUUUAGAAAUAACAAAAAUAUGCAAAGUAAUAUUUUUAUUUAUUGUAUAACCCAAAAGUUUAACAAUUAUUAUCGUAGGCUAUAGUGACCCGUUAAUUUAAUAAAAUUUAGUUAACGAUUAAUUAAUAAAAGCUACCUUAGGGAUAACAGGA
This 402-nucleotide ribosomal RNA is filed under the name Hydra viridissima (green hydra). Its description in RNAcentral is "partial 16S ribosomal RNA". It matches the Rfam family "Bacterial large subunit ribosomal RNA", at positions 1929 to 2482 of the family's 2925-position model. The record is from RNAcentral. Lineage: Eukaryota; Metazoa; Cnidaria; Hydrozoa; Anthoathecata; Hydridae.